GCCUGCAAGUGAUAUUGAAUUCGAUACUGGAACGGUCUGGAAAGUCCGGCUACAGAGGGUGACAGCCCCGUACGGGAAAUUGGGUUCAAGGUACUGAGCUUGCGAGAAGUAGAGCGGGACACGUGAAAUCCUGCUCGAAGAUGGGGGGACCAUCCUCCAAGGCUAAAUACUCGUAAUCGACCGAUAGCGAACCAGUACUGUGAAGGAAAGGCGAAAAGAACCCCGGGAGGGGAGUGAAAUAGAUCCUGAAACCGCAUACAUACAAACAGUAGGAGCCCGCAAGGGUGACUGCGUACCUUUUGCAUAAUGGGUCAGCGACUUACGUUCAAUGGCAAGCUUAACCGAGUAGGGGAGGCGCAGCGAAAGCGAGUCCGAACAGGGCGAUAUGAGUCGUUGGGCGUAGACCCGAAACCAGAUGAUCUAUCCAUGGCCAGGCUGAAGGUGUGGUAACACACACUGGAGGGCCGAACCGACUAGUGUUGCAAAAUUAGCGGAUGAGCUGUGGAUAGGGGUGAAAGGCUAAACAAAUCUGGAGAUAGCUGGUUCUCCCCGAAAACUAUUGAGGUAGUGCCUCGUGUAUGGCUCCAGGGGGUAGAGCACUGUUAUGGCUAGGGGGACAUGGCGUCUUACCAAACCAUGGCAAACUCCGAAUACUUGGAAGUCUGAGCACGGGAGACAGAGCACCGGGUGCUAACGUCCGGACUCAAAAGGGAAACAACCCAGACCGCCGGCUAAGGUCCCUAAUAUUGACUAAGUGGAAAACGAAGUGGGAAGGCUAAGACAGUCAGGAAGUUGGCUUAGAAGCAGCCAUCCUUCAAAGAAAGCGUAAUAGCUCACUGAUCGAGUCUUCCUGCGCGGAAGAUGUAACGGGGCUAAGUCAAUAACCGAAGCCGCGGAUUCGCAGCAAUGCGAGUGGUAGGGGAGCGUUCUGUAAGCCUGCGAAGGCGGAUCUGCGAGGACCGCUGGAGGUAUCAGAAGUGCGAAUGCUGACAUGAGUAACGUUAAAGCGGGUGAAAAGCCCGCUCGCCGCAAGCCCAAGGUUUCCUGCUCUACGUUCAUCGGAGCAGGGUGAGUCGGCCCCUAAGGUCAGGCUGAGAAGCGUAGCUGAUGGGAAGCUGGUUAAUAUUCCAGCACCGAUUUCAAGUGCGAAGGGGGGACGGAGUCCUGAAGGUCAUCCGGGUGUUGGAUAUCCCGGUUUACGAGCGUAGGAGGUUGACAGGCAAAUCCGUCAACGAAUCUCCAAGGCGAAGGAUCGAGGUUGAGAGAUCAACUGAAGUGACUGAAUGGGCUUCCAGGAAAAGCCUCUAAGCAUCAGCUUGGAAUUGACCGUACCGCAAACCGACACUGGUGGGCGAGCUGAAUAUGCUCAGGCGCUUGAGAGAACUCAGGAGAAGGAACUCGGCAAAUUGACACCGUAACUUCGGGAUAAGGUGUGCCUUUGUAGUGUGAAGGGAGAAACACCCCGAGCAUGAAGAGGCCUCAGAGAAUCGGUGGCUGCAACUGUUUACUAAAAACACAGCACUCUGCAAAGAUGAAAGUCGACGUAUAGGGUGUGAUGCCUGCCCGGUGCUGGAAGAUUAAUUGAUGGGGUGCAAGCUCCUGAUCGAAGUCCCAGUAAACGGCGGCCGUAACUAUAACGGUCCUAAGGUAGCGAAAUUCCUUGUCGGGGAAGUUCCGACCUGCACGAAUGGCAUAAUGAUGGCCACACUGUCUCCUCCUGAGACUCAGUGAAGUUGAAAUGUUUGUGAUGAUGCAAUCUCCCCGCGGCUAGACGGAAAGACCCCAUGAACCUUUACUGCAGCUUUGCAUUGGACUUUGAACCGAUCUGUGUAGGAUAGGUGGGAGGCAGUGAAGCUAGGACGCCAGUCUUAGCGGAGCCAACCUUGAAAUACCACCCUGAUUUGUUUGAGGUUCUAACCUAGGAGCGUGAUCCGCUUCGGGGACCGUGCAUGGUAGGCAGUUUGACUGGGGCGGUCUCCUCCUAAAGGGUAACGGAGGAGUGCGAAGGUACGCUAGGUACGGUCGGAAAUCGUGCUGAUAGUGCAAUGGCAAAAGCGUGCUUGACUGCGAGACCGACAAGUCGAGCAGAUACGAAAGUAGGUCAUAGUGAUCCGGUGGUUCCGCAUGGAAGGGCCAUCGCUCAACGGAUAAAAGGUACUCCGGGGAUAACAGGCUGAUA
This 2179-nucleotide ribosomal RNA is filed under the name human gut metagenome. RNAcentral's name for it is "bacterial LSU rRNA". It matches the Rfam family "Bacterial large subunit ribosomal RNA", at positions 306 to 2487 of the family's 2925-position model. The record is from RNAcentral.